UGCCAGCAGCCGCGGUAAUACGUAGGGAGCAAGCGUUGUCCGGAAUUAUUGGGCGUAAAGGGUGCGUAGGCGGUAUAUCAAGUCAGAUGUGAAAUCCCCGGGCUUAACUCGGGACGUGCAUUUGAAACUGGUAUACUUGAGUAAAGAAGAGGUAAGUGGAAUUCCUAGUGUAGCGGUGGAAUGCGUAGAUAUUAGGAGGAACACCAGUGGCGAAGGCGACUUACUGGUCUUUUACUGACGCUGAGAUGCGAAAGCUAGGGUAUCAAACGGGAUUAGAUA
This 279-nucleotide ribosomal RNA is filed under the name uncultured bacterium. RNAcentral's name for it is "partial 16S ribosomal RNA". It matches the Rfam family "Bacterial small subunit ribosomal RNA", at positions 506 to 784 of the family's 1533-position model. The record is from RNAcentral.